RNAcentral lists this transfer RNA (90 nucleotides) under Penicillium occitanis (nom. inval.). Its description in RNAcentral is "Penicillium occitanis tRNA". It matches the Rfam family "tRNA". Rfam says of the family: Transfer RNA (tRNA) molecules are approximately 80 nucleotides in length. The record is from Rfam by way of RNAcentral. Lineage: Eukaryota; Fungi; Ascomycota; Eurotiomycetes; Eurotiales; Aspergillaceae.
GCCUUUAUAGCUCAGUGGUAGAGCGUUGCACUUGUAGCCUGUGACAGGGUUGUGAUGCAAAGGUCCAUUGUUCAAUCCAGUGUGGAGGCA